This 461-nucleotide ribosomal RNA is filed under the name uncultured bacterium. RNAcentral's name for it is "bacterial SSU rRNA". It matches the Rfam family "Bacterial small subunit ribosomal RNA", at positions 33 to 507 of the family's 1533-position model. The record is from RNAcentral.
ACGCUGGCGGCGCGCCUAACACAUGCAAGUCGAACGAGCGAGAGAGAGCUUGCUUUCUCAAGCGAGUGGCGAACGGGUGAGUAACGCGUGAGGAACCUGCCUCAAAGAGGGGGACAACAGUUGGAAACGACUGCUAAUACCGCAUAAGACCACGGGAUCACAUGGUUCUGGGGUAAAAGAUUUAUCGGUUUGGGGUGGGCUCGCGUCCGAUUAGGUAGUUGGUGAGGUAACGGCCCACCAAGCCGACGAUCGGUAGCCGACCUGAGAGGGUGAUCGGCCACAUUGGGACUGAGACACGGCCCAAACUCCUACGGGAGGCAGCAGUGGGGAAUAUUGGGCAAUGGAGGAAACUCUGACCCAGCAACGCCGCGUGGAGGAAGAAGGUUUUCGGAUCGUAAACUCCUGUCCUUGGAGACGAGUAGAAGACGGUAUCCAAGGAGGAAGCCCCGGCUAACUACGUG